Molecule: long non-coding RNA, 446 nt
Filed under: Nicotiana benthamiana
Lineage: Eukaryota; Viridiplantae; Streptophyta; Magnoliopsida; Solanales; Solanaceae
Description: long non-coding RNA (NBEN_LNC006334)
Source: RNAcentral
AGGUCCUUGGUCUCCUUAUAUGGCUUGGAAAAUCCUCACCUCAUAAGCUAGCUUUUGGGGUUGAGUUAGGCCCAAGGUCCAUUCUUAUCAUGGUAUCGGAGCCAGGCCCGUCUCAAUUAUUGUUACCGAUGUUAGCCCCCAAUUAUGUUGUCUACGCUUUAGAGAUCUGGGCGUGAGGGGGGUGUUGAGUUAUCCCACAUCGGAGGGAUUUGAGGUCCUUGGUGGCUUGGGCAAUCCUCACCUCAUAAGCUAGCUUUUGGGGUUGAGUUAGGCCCAAGGUCCAUUCUUUUCAUUGAGUUAGGCCCAAGGUCCAUUCUUCUCAUGGUAUCAGGGCCAGACUCAUCCCAAUUAUUGUUACCGAUGUUGGGCCCCCAUUUAUGUUGUCCACGCUCCAGGAUGUUGAGUUGUCGCACAUCGGAGGGAUUUGAGGUCCUUGGUGGCUUGGG